This 1242-nucleotide ribosomal RNA is filed under the name metagenome. Its description in RNAcentral is "bacterial LSU rRNA". It matches the Rfam family "Bacterial large subunit ribosomal RNA", at positions 1564 to 2815 of the family's 2925-position model. The record is from RNAcentral.
GUAAUACGAGACGCUACGGCGUCGAAGCAGUCUAUGUCAUACUUCCAAGAAAAGCUUGCACUGUCAUAAACAAAUAAUGCCUGUACCAUAACCGACACAGGUGGGUAGGUAGAGUAUACUAAGGGGCGCGAGAUAACUCUCUCUAAGGAACUCGGCAAAAUGACUCCGUAACUUCGGGAGAAGGAGUGCCUUAUUUAUAAGGUUGCAAUAACAAGAUCCAAGCAACUGUUUAUCAAAAACACAGGUCUCCGCUAAGUCGUAAGACGAUGUAUGGGGGCUGACGCCUGCCCAGUGCCAGAAGGUUAAAGAAGUUGGUUAGCAUUAGCGAAGCUGAUAACUGAAGCCCUGGUGAACGGCGGCCGUAACAAUAACGGUCCUAAGGUAGCGAAAUUCCUUGUCGGGUAAGUUCCGACCCGCACGAAAGGCGUAAUGAUUUGGAUACUGUCUCGGAGAGGGGCUCGGUGAAAUAGACUUGUCUGUGAAGAUGCGGACUACCUGCACCUGGACAGAAAGACCCUAUGAAGCUUUACUGUAACCUGAAAUUGAAAUUGGACUUUAUUUGCGCAGUAUAGGUGGGAGGCGUUGGGAAUAUUCUUGCGGGAAUAUUGGAGCCAUCAGUGAGAUACCACUCUUGUAAUGUUAGAUUUCUAACUUUGAAUCAUUAUCUGGUCAAAGAACAGUUUCAGGCGGGCAGUUUGACUGGGGCGGUCGCCUCCUAAAUGGUAACGGAGGCGCACAAAGGUUUCCUCUGAACGGGUAGAAAUCGUAUCUAGAGUGUAAAGGCAUAAGUAAGCUUGACUGUGAGACCUACAAGUCGAGCAGGGACGAAAGUCGGUCUUAGUGAUCUGACGGUGCUGAGUGGAAAGGCCAUCACUCAACGGAUAAAAGUUACUCUAAGGAUAACAGGCUGAUCUCCCCCAAGAGUUCGCAUCGACGGGGAGGUUUGGCACCUCGAUGUCGGCUCAUCGCAUCCUGGGGCGGUAGUACGUCCCAAGGGUUGGGCUGUUCGCCCAUGAAAGCGGUACGCGAGCUGGGUUCAGAACGUCGUGAGACAGUUCGGUCCAUAUCCGGUGUAGGCGUUAGAAUAUUGAGAGGAGCCUUCUUUAGUACGAGAGGACCGAGAAGGACAUACCUCUGGUGUACCAGUUAUCGUGCCAACGGUAAACGCUGGGUAGCUAUGUAUGGAGAGGAUAACCGCUGAAAGCAUCUAAGUGGGAAGCCCACCUCAAGAUAAGUAUUCUC